Molecule: unclassified non-coding RNA, 239 nt
Filed under: Hevea brasiliensis (rubber tree)
Lineage: Eukaryota; Viridiplantae; Streptophyta; Magnoliopsida; Malpighiales; Euphorbiaceae
Source: RNAcentral
AAACAUUGCCUCUGAACCUGCAUAUUAUCAUCAUUCUCAGGUAGUUAACAAAAUAUGAUCCAGAAAUCUGUUUCCUACAACAUAAUCCAUCAACACUGAGUCCUGGAUGCAAGCUUUAGAGAUAGAUUGUUGUUGGCUUAGAGAGACAUAGCAAACACAUUUCAGGCUGGAUUUGAAAUUCUCAGUCACAAACAUCUAAGGCAUAAGAAUUCUACAAAUGUACCUGUUAUGCACAACAA